This 362-nucleotide ribosomal RNA is filed under the name uncultured bacterium. RNAcentral describes it as "bacterial SSU rRNA". It matches the Rfam family "Bacterial small subunit ribosomal RNA", at positions 32 to 385 of the family's 1533-position model. The record is from RNAcentral.
AAUCAACGCUGGCGGCGUGCCUAACACAUGCAAGUCGAACGAGAAAGUGGAGCAAUCCAUGAGUAAAGUGGCGACCGGGUGAGUAACACGUGAUUAACCUACCUUCGAGUGGGGAAUAACUUCGGGAAACCGAAGCUAAUACCGCAUAACAUCCCAAGGACGAGAAGCCCAGGGAUCAAAGGAGCAAUUCGCUUGAAGAGGGGGUCGCGGACUGGAUUAGCUAGUUGGCGGGGUAAUGGCCCACCAAGGCGAUGAUCAGUAGCCGGCCUGAGAGGGCGCACGGCCACACUGGAACUGAAACACGGUCCAGACUCCUACGGGGAGGCAGCAGUGGGGAAUUUUGCGCAAUGGGGGAAACCCUG